RNAcentral lists this ribosomal RNA (1500 nucleotides) under uncultured prokaryote. RNAcentral's name for it is "partial 16S ribosomal RNA". It matches the Rfam family "Bacterial small subunit ribosomal RNA". The record is from RNAcentral.
UAGAGUUUGAUCCUGGCUCAGAUUGAACGCUGGCGGCAUGCUUAAUACAUGCAAGUCGAACGGUAACAGGUUCUUCGGAAUGCUGACGAGUGGCGGACGGGUGAGUAACGCGUAAGAAUUUGCCCAGUAGUGGGGGACAACAUGGGGAAACGCAUGCUAAUACCGCAUACGCCCUAUGGGGGAAAGAGGGCCUCUCCUUGGAAGCUCUUGCUGUUGGAUGAGCCUGCGUCGGAUUAGCUAGUUGGUAGGGUAAUGGCCUACCAAGGCAACGAUGGUUAGCGGGUCUGAGAGGAUGAUCCGCCACACUGGAACUGGAACACGGACCAGACUCCUACGGGAGGCAGCAGUGAGGAAUAUUGCGCAAUGGGGGAAACCCUGACGCAGCGACGCCGCGUGAGUGAAGAAGGCCUUAGGGUUGUAAAGCACUUUCAGUAGGGAGGAAAAGUUAGUCGUUAAUAUCGGCUAACCCUGACGUUACCUACAGAAGAAGCACCGGCAAACUCCGUGCCAGCAGCCGCGGUAAUACGGAGGGUGCGAGCGUUAAUCGGAAUUACUGGGCGUAAAGCGCGCGUAGGCGGCCUGAUAAGUUGGAUGUGAAAGCCCUGGGCUCAACCUAGGAACUGCAUUCAAAACUGUCAGGCUAGAGUAUGGUAGAGGAUAGUGGAAUUUCCGGUGUAGCGGUGAAAUGCGUAGAGAUCGGAAGGAACAUAAGUGGCGAAGGCGGAUAUCUGGAACAACACGUACUCUGAGGGGCGAAAGCGGUGGUAGCAAACAUGAUUAGAUACCCUGGUAGGCCACGCCUUAAACGAUGUCAACUAGCCGUUGGGGGGCUUGUCCCGUUAGUGGCGCACCUAACGCGAUAAGUUGUCCCCCUGGGGAGUACGACCGCAAGGUUAAAACUCAAAUGAAUUGACGGGGGCCCGCACAAGCGGUGGAGCAUGUGGUUUAAUGCGAUGCAACGCGAAGAACCUUACCUGGCUUUGACAUCCUUGGGACCUCGCAGAGAUGUGAGGGUGCCUUCGGGAGCCAGGUGACAGGUGCUGCAUGGCUGUCGUCAGCUCGUGUCGUGAGAUGUUGGGUUAAGUCCCGUAACGAGCGCAACCCUUAUCUCUAGUUGCCAGCGAUUCGGUCGGGAACUCUAGAGAGACUGCCGGUGACAAACCGGAGGAAGGUGAGGACGACGUCAAGUCAUCAUGGCCCUUAUGUGUAGGGCUACACACGUGCUACAAUGGUCGGUACAGAGGGUCGCCAACCCGCGAGGGGGAGCUAAUCUCACAAAGCCGAUCGUAGUCCGGAUUGCAGUCUGCAACUCGACUGCAUGAAGUUGGAAUCGCUAGUAAUCGCAGAUCAGCACUGCUGCGGUGAAUACGUUCCCGGGCCUUGUACACACCGCCCGUCACACCAUGGGAGUUGUCUGCACCAGAAGUGGUUAGCCUAACCUUCGGGAGGGCGAUCACCACGGUGUGGUCAAUGACUGGGGUGAAGUCGUAACAAGGUAAC